This 253-nucleotide ribosomal RNA is filed under the name uncultured bacterium. RNAcentral's name for it is "partial 16S ribosomal RNA". It matches the Rfam family "Bacterial small subunit ribosomal RNA", at positions 524 to 776 of the family's 1533-position model. The record is from RNAcentral.
UACGUAGGAUGCAAGCGUUGUCCGGAAUUAUUGGGCGUAAAGAGCGCGCAGGCGGUUUUACAAGUCAGAUGUGAAAUAUCCGGGCUCAACCUGGGAACUGCGCUUGAUACGGCAGAGCUAGAGGAUGGAAGAGGCUCGCGGAAUUCCCAGUGUAGAGGUGAAAUUCGUAGAUAUUCGCAAGAACACCAGUGGCGAAGGCGGCCGACUGGUCCGGUUCUGACGCUGAGGCGCGAAAGCGUGGGGAGCAAACAGG